GAUGAACGCUGGCGGCGUGCCUAAUACAUGCAAGUCGAACGCUUCACUUCGGUGAAGAGUGGCGAACGGGUGAGUAAUACAUAAGUAACCUGGCAUCUACAGGGGGAUAACUGAUGGAAACGUCAGCUAAGACCGCAUAGGUGUAGAGAUCGCAUGAACUCUAUAUGAAAAGUGCUACGGGACUGGUAGAUGAUGGACUUAUGGCGCAUUAGCUGGUUGGUAGGGUAACGGCCUACCAAGGCGACGAUGCGUAGCCGAACUGAGAGGUUGAUCGGCCACACUGGGACUGAGACACGGCCCAGACUCCUACGGGAGGCAGCAGUGGGGAAUAUUGCACAAUGGGGGAAACCCUGAUGCAGCAACGCCGCGUGAAGGAAGAAGGUUUUCGGAUCGUAAACUUCUAUCAACAGGGACGAAGAAAGUGACGGUACCUGAAUAAGAAGCCCCGGCUAACUACGUG
This 460-nucleotide ribosomal RNA is filed under the name uncultured bacterium. Its description in RNAcentral is "bacterial SSU rRNA". It matches the Rfam family "Bacterial small subunit ribosomal RNA", at positions 28 to 507 of the family's 1533-position model. The record is from RNAcentral.